GCUGGCGUCGGACGCUCGGGAACGUUCAUCGCCCUGGACAGGAUAUUGUUCAGCAUAAGAACAAACGACUACGUGGACAUCUACGGCAUAGUCUAUGAGAUGAGACGACAGAGAGUCUCCAUGGUACAAACAGAGAAGCAGUAUAUAUGUAUUCACCAGUGCCUUCUGUCUGUCCUGGAGGGAACGGAGAACGAGCACCCGUUAACAGAAAUUCAUGAUAAUCAGGGUUACGAAGAUGACGAAGGAAUAGCCGAGUCGAGCAUGUGACAGGAGGCGUAUGGGUUGCAUUCACUUGCGACCUAUACAAAGUAUGGAAAUGAUGUGACUUUGGCAAAGAACAGACCCUGAAGAUGCGUGUGUGGGGAAUCUCUGAAGAAGAGUGUACAGAAAACUAUAUUUUUAUAGUAAUUUAUCUUAACUAUUCCAGACUUAAUAUGGUUUGUUAUCAGACUUCUGUCAUAUAUAUGUAUGAGUAUAUAAUAGUGUUAUAUAUGUACUUAUGUAUAUAUGUAUGUAUGUAUAUAUAUAUAUAUAUAUAUAUAUAUAUAUAUAUAUAUAUAUAUAUAUAUAUAUAUAUAUAUAUAUAUAUACAGUGUAUACAUGUCACCCUGUAUGUCGGUGUAUGUUUGGAGUUGAAUUUAUCAAAUGAAAUAUAUUGUAAACACUUUUUCUUUUAAUUAUCUGUUGAAUUAUCAACAGUCCUUGUGCUAUUUGCAAAGUAAUGACGUGAUGUUCAUGGUGAUCAAAACAGCUGAUAUUAUCUUGUAGUAUAGCCAAUCAAUGUUUCUAUGACCUUUAUGUAAAUAUAUUGUAAAAAAUGUAAAAAAAAAAUACAAAGACAAGAUUUCCUAUUAAGAGUAAAUUCUUGUUAUAUUAUUCAUGUAAUACUUAUCGUAGGAUUUGAUUUAAGAGGAAGAGUAAUUGGUAAGCUAAACCAAGGUGCUAUCGUAUCUGAGAUUCUUUCUUUGAUAAGAAAACAGGAGAAACGAAAUCCGUCCUUAUUUCAUUUUAUUUCACUUCAGUUUCCUUAUUAAUGAUUAGUUUUAUGGUAUCUUUCUUUUUUUUUCUUCUUUUCUUUGUUCUUUCGAAUAUCUUUUAUGUAUAUGUUGAAUUUUCUUAAUCUCUUUUAUUUCGAAUUUUCUUCAUUUUUUUUAAUAGAGUAUAUUGCUGAACAAAUAUGCGUGAUUAAGUUGUAUUUGUUUGUCCUCAUGAUUUACCUCAUACUGUUGAUGGAAAAUAUUAGACCUAUUUAGUAAUGCUCAUAAAAGCCAGAAAAUAUUUGCAUAAUUGUGAAUUCAGGCCUUUAAUCCAUCACUUCUAAAUGUAAAUCUAAUGAAUACUUUUUACUCAUGUGCAACACGUCUGGAAAACAAAUGUAUAUAUUCACAAUGAAUAAUGAAUAAGUUUUUUUGUUCCCAGACGAGACUUAUUGAUAGAAAAGACUUGAGAUUAUGAGAUUAUGCAUUACUUUAUUGGGACCACAAGAAAAUCAGUGAAUAGCUGUGUCAGGUUUCAGUGGAUGUUAUUUGUGUAGGUAAUGCCUGUAGGUGUAUAUUGAUUUUGUAUAUGUCUUUUAUCCCUUAGAGUCUUGUCAUUCUUGGACGAAAGUGUGUCUCAGAUUAGGAAAUUACUAUAUAUAUAUGUUUUUCCUUUUUUUUUGGUAUGUGUGUGAGACUGCAAGAUUUACUUGUGUAAAUGCUCACGUGUUUAGCCACUGGAUUGUAAACAUUACCAAAGUUACUUUUCACAAGAGCUAACCGUGUGCUUGGAAAAAAUCCUGCUUUUGCACUAAUGAAGCCGAUGGUUCUAUGGAGAGUUCCUGGUGCAAUAUCAUUUAAAUGACGGAAACGAAAAUUAAAAAGAAUAAGAGUGAAAGAUCGAAAACCUGCAUCUCUGUGUUAGAAGUGUCUCCCAUAUUUGAUUAGCUUUUUAUAUCAGUGUAUGUACCACUUGUAGAUUUUUUGUAUCUGUAUCCUUUUGAAUGUGUUUUCAUUUUAUUCAAAUACAACUUUGUGCGUUCAUGUUUGUGUGUGUGUGUGUGUGUGUCUGUGUGUGUGUGUGUGUGUGUGCGUGCGUCUGUGCGUGCGUGCGUGCUUGUCUCAAUUCUACGUAAGGAGAUAUUUGAUCACCACUUAAUAGAGAUAAAAGUAACAAGGUGAUUACCUAAUUCCCGCGUGACAAUAGAACUUUAAAAACAUAUUAAAAUUCUCAGUUCCCUAAUAUGUUCCUCUAAUUUGCAUUGAGUGUUUUGUCUCAGCAAACUGAAGCCGCAUAAUAGUUGCAGGUCCUUCUCAUAUCAACCAUCUGAUUAUCAUAAGUAAUAACGAUAAGGUAAUUGUAGCCUUUGAUAAUCGACUGAAAGUGAAACUGAAGUUUAAAACAAGUUAUCAAUAUUUAUUUCAACUUUAGACUCGGGUUUAAAGUUUUUGUAUGUCUCUGUAUAUUAUGCCAUGUUUAUGGAUAUUGUUUAUAAAUAAAGUGUUACCAUUAUGAAA
This 2495-nucleotide long non-coding RNA is filed under the name Penaeus japonicus. RNAcentral's name for it is "uncharacterized LOC122251226, transcript variant X2". Lineage: Eukaryota; Metazoa; Arthropoda; Malacostraca; Decapoda; Penaeidae. The record is from RNAcentral.